GCCCUCGUUGUCUAAUGGUUAUGACGUCAGACUUCUACGCCGAAAGCAUUUAUUAUCUGGAGGUUGUGGGUUCGAGUCCCACCGGGGGUA
Non-coding RNA from Rickenella mellea, 90 nucleotides. The record is from the annotation of a GenBank genome assembly. Lineage: Eukaryota; Fungi; Basidiomycota; Agaricomycetes; Hymenochaetales; Rickenellaceae.